This is a long non-coding RNA of Oncorhynchus kisutch (coho salmon), 1824 nucleotides long. The record is from Ensembl. NCBI's taxonomy places the organism in Eukaryota, Metazoa, Chordata, Actinopteri, Salmoniformes, Salmonidae.
AUGUUCAACGAGCAGGUGUCCACAUACUUUUGGUCAUGCAGUGAAUCUUAUAAUGGAUUUCUGCCAGAAAUCAAAGAGCUGUACAGCUGCCAUUUUUCCUUGUGCUUCCUACUAGCGUUAGUUCCCCUGUGCUUCCUACUAGCGUUAGUUCCCCUGUGCUUCCUACAAGCGUUAGUUCCCCUGUGCUUCCUACAAGCGUUAGUUCCCCUGUGCUUCCUACAAGCGUUAGUUCCCCUGUGCUUCCUACAAGCGUUAGUUCCCCUGUGCUUCCUACAAGCGUUAGUUCCCCUGUGCUUCCUACAAGCGUUAGUUCCCCUGUGCUUCCUACAAGCGUUAGUUCCCCUGUGCUUCCUACAAGCGUUAGUUCCCCUGUGCUUCCUACUAGCGUUAGUUCCCCUGUGCUUCCUACUAGCGUUAGUUCCCCUGUGCUUCCUACAAGCGUUAGUUCCCCUGUGCUUCCUACAAGCGUUAGUUCCCCUGUGCUUCCUACAAGCGUUAGUUCCCCUGUGCUUCCUACAAGCGUUAGUUCCCCUGUGCUUCCUACAAGCGUUAGUUCCCCUGUGCUUCCUACAAGCGUUAGUUCCCCUGUGCUUCCUACAAGCGUUAGUUCCCCUGUGCUUCCUACAAGCGUUAGUUCCCCUGUGCUUCCUACAAGCGUUAGUUCCCCUGUGCUUCCUACAAGCGUUAGUUCCCCUGUGCUUCCUACAAGCGUUAGUUCCCCUGUGCUUCCUACAAGCGUUAGUUCCCCUGUGCUUCCUACAAGCGUUAGUUCCCCUGUGCUUACUACUAGCGUUAGUUCCCCUGUGCUUCCUACAAGCGUUAGUUCCCCUGUGCUUCCUACAAGCGUUAGUUCCCCUGUGCUUCCUACAAGCGUUAGUUCCCCUGUGCUUACUACAAGCGUUAGUUCCCCUGUGCUUCCUACAAGCGUUAGUUCCCCUGUGCUUACUACAAGCGUUAGUUCCCCUGUGCUUCCUACAAGCGUUAGUUCCCCUGUGCUUCCUACAAGCGUUAGUUCCCCUGUGCUUACUACAAGCGUUAGUUCCCCUGUGCUUCCUACAAGCGUUAGUUCCCCUGUGCUUACUACAAGCGUUAGUUCCCCUGUGCUUCCUACAAGCGUUAGUUCCCCUGUGCUUCCUACAAGCGUUAGUUCCCUUGUGCUUACUACAAGCGUUAGUUCCCCUGUGCUUCCUACAAGCGUUAGUUCCCCUGUGCUUACUACAAGCGUUAGUUCCCCUGUGCUUCCUACAAGCGUUAGUUUCCCUGUGCUUACUACAAGCGUUAGUUCCCCUGUGCUUACUACAAGCGUUAGUUCCCCUGUGCUUCCUACAAGCGUUAGUUCCCCUGUGCUUCCUACAAGCGUUAGUUCCCCUGUGCUUCCUACAAGCGUUAGUUCCCCUGUGCUUCCUACAAGCGUUAGUUCCCCUGUGCUUCCUACAAGCGUUAGUUCCCCUGUGCUUCCUACAAGCGUUAGUUCCCCUGUGCUUACUACAAGCGUUAGUUCCCCUGUGCUUCCUACAAGCGUUAGUUCCCCUGUGCUUCCUACAAGCGUUAGUUCCCCUGUGCUUACUACAAGCGUUAGUUCCCCUGUGCUUCCUACAAGCGUUAGUUCCCCUGUGCUUCCUACAAGCGUUAGUUCCCCUGUGCUUCCUACAAGCGGUAGUUCCCCUGUGCUUACUACUAGCGUUCUACUCAUUUCUGCUCUGUGUACUACACAUGCUGCUCUUUCUCAGAAAAGCAUGCAUAACAACUUUGUUCAUUUGUGCAAUUUCUCUACUUCACUUUCGCUUGAAAAUGUCCACACUCACUGAAAAUGACAUUCGGUAG